GUUGGGGACAGCUGCUCUUUGAAGUGGGUAAAACGCACCCCACUGCCAGGCAUGGGGGGGACAACAUGGAUUCGUCGGCUAAAGCUGUCUUUAGAAAUAGGAUCACAGCCCACUUCGUGUGGACGCUACAUCUGUGGAUGAUUUGAGCUUUUGGACUCGCGUCUUCCAAACCUUUAUCCUGUUCAGAAUUGAAUCCUUCCUCGAUCCUUUCACGGAUUCACUAAAUGUGACUAGGGGCCGAGUUUGAGCCUGGCAUGAGGGACACAGUGUGAAAGCAGUGGCUCUCUGCCUGGCACGUCCCAUACACCCAGCAGAGCGACUGUUGAUGCAGCAUCUACCGGGUUUGAGGAAGGCAACAGCUGUAGAGCUGACUCCUAUGUGGCAAGGAACUGAGACCCUCAGUCCAUCAACCUUCAAAGAACUCACUUCUGCCAACCAACCCAGCGCUUGGAAACAGAUCCUUCCCCAGUCAAGCCUUCAGAUGAGACCCCAGUCCUGGCUGAAACCCUGAUUGCAGCCUCAGGGGGCCCUGAGCACGGGAACAUGUGCCUGGAUUCCUGGUCCACAGAAACUGGGAGAUCAUAGCUGUGUAUUGUCCUAAGUCACUAAAUUUGUGACAGUUUGUUUAUGCAACCAUAGAGAACUCAUCCAGCUCUGAAGGAGACAAAUGUAUAAAGCGCUUAGUACAGUGCCUGGCAACCCAUUUCACUUUCAAUCAACAGUAGCCAUGAUUGUUAACAUUAUCGUCUCUGGAGGGAAGGAGAUACUCCCAGGUUGCCCAAUAUUCCUCAGCCCUUGGGCUACUUCAGCCUCCUGAUGACAAAUACCCCUGAUCAUUUAGCUUUCCUGUAUUUCCUAAUUUGUCUACAAAAAAAUACGUCUGAAUUUUUAUAAAAAUAAAAACCUACCUUGACAGUA
Carlito syrichta (Philippine tarsier) is the source of this 918-nucleotide long non-coding RNA. RefSeq lists it as uncharacterized. The record is from RefSeq and is a predicted model, not a curated record. NCBI's taxonomy places the organism in Eukaryota, Metazoa, Chordata, Mammalia, Primates, Tarsiidae. The transcript is spliced from 2 exons.